This 405-nucleotide ribosomal RNA is filed under the name uncultured bacterium. Its description in RNAcentral is "partial 16S ribosomal RNA". It matches the Rfam family "Bacterial small subunit ribosomal RNA", at positions 30 to 526 of the family's 1533-position model. The record is from RNAcentral.
AUUGAACGCUGGCGGCAGGCCUAACACAUGCAAGUCGAACGAGUGGCGGACGGGUGAGUAAUGCUUGGGAAUCUUGCUUAUGGAUGGGGAUAACUACGGGACACUGUAGCUACUACCGCGUACCAUAGGAUGAGCCCAAGUGGGAUUAGGUAGUUGGUGAGGCAAAGGCUCACCAAGCCGACGAUCUCUACCUGGUCUGAGAGGAUGACCAGCCACACUGGAACUGAGACACGGUCCAGACUCCUACGGGAGGCAGCAGGGGGGAAUAUUGCGCAAUGGGGGCAACCUGACGCAGCCAUGCCGCGUGAAUGAAGAAGGCCUUCGGGUUGUAAAGUUCUUUAGGUAGCGAGGCGUUAACUACAGAAGAAGCACCGGCUAACUCCGUGCCAGCAGCCGCGGUAAUAC